The sequence is a small RNA, 68 nucleotides long. It matches the Rfam family "Bacillaceae-1 RNA".
AAAAUAGUCCCAAAGACUAACUUCGCCACCUCCUGUGGCAAUGUCUUUGUAACCUACACUCAUGCCGG